RNAcentral lists this small RNA (165 nucleotides) under Rhodanobacter spathiphylli. RNAcentral describes it as "Rhodanobacter sp. Manganese sequence". It matches the Rfam family "Manganese Mn2+ riboswitch aptamer (yybP-ykoY)". From Rfam's summary of the family: This RNA was originally discovered in E. coli during a large scale screen and was named SraF. The family was later found to exist upstream of related families of protein genes in many bacteria, including the the yybP and ykoK genes in B. subtilis. Lineage: Bacteria; Pseudomonadati; Pseudomonadota; Gammaproteobacteria; Lysobacterales; Rhodanobacteraceae. The record is from RNAcentral.
ACCCCUUGGGGAGUAGCCUGCCUCGUUGCGACGAGGCGUCUUCGUCAACAUGCUCGGCACGUCUGCCGUGGCGAAGACACCGAUCCUGGUUGGCGAGACCAACGGCUGACGGCGCCACGACGGUGGGGCGCGCCGUCGUGCCGUUGCGUCCAGCCCCGUCGUUCG